GUCUUUUUGAUUAUAAUUUAAAGUCUAACCUGCCCAAUGAGGAGUUAAAUGGCCGCGGUAUCUUGACCGUGCAAAGGUAGCAUAAUCAUUAGUUUUUUAAUUGAAAGCUGGUAUGAAUGGUUGGACGAGAGAGUAGCUGUCUCAAUUUAAGUUAAAUUAGAAUUUUAUUUAUAAGUAAAAAAGCUUAUAUAGGUUUAAAAGACGAGAAGACCCUAUAGAAUUUUAUAUAUUUAUAUGUAUAUUAUUUUUAGAAUGGAUAUUUUUAUAUAUAUUAAUAUAUUUUGUUGGGGCGACAGAAAAAUUUAAUAAACUUUUUUUAUAUUUAAACAUUAAUAUAUGAUUAAUUGAUCCGUUAUUUACGAUUAUAAGAUUAAAUUACCUUAGGGAUAACAGCGUAAUUUUUUUUUAGAGUUCAUAUCGAAAAAAGAGUUUGCGACCUCGAUGUUGGAUUAAAAUUAACUUUUGGUGUAGGGGCUAAAAGGUUAGGUCUGUUCGACCUUUAAAAUUUUACA
This 512-nucleotide ribosomal RNA is filed under the name Allomyrina pfeifferi. Its description in RNAcentral is "partial 16S ribosomal RNA". It matches the Rfam family "Bacterial large subunit ribosomal RNA", at positions 1819 to 2600 of the family's 2925-position model. Lineage: Eukaryota; Metazoa; Arthropoda; Insecta; Coleoptera; Scarabaeidae. The record is from RNAcentral.